CCCCACUGUGCGGGCGUGGCCUAAUACAUGCAAGUAGAACGCUGAAGAGAGGAGCUUGCUCUUCUUGGAUGAGUUGCGAACGGGUGAGUAACGCGUAGGUAACCUGCCUUGUAGCGGGGGAUAACUAUUGGAAACGAUAGCUAAUACCGCAUAACAAUGGAUGACACAUGUCAUUUAUUUGAAAGGGGCAAUUGCUCCACUACAAGAUGGACCUGCGUUGUAUUAGCUAGUAGGUGAGGUAACGGCUCACCUAGGCGACGAUACAUAGCCGACCUGAGAGGGUGAUCGGCCACACUGGGACUGAGACACGGCCCAGACUCCUACGGGAGGCAGCAGUAGGGAAUCUUCGGCAAUGGGGGCAACCCUGACCGAGCAACGCCGCGUGAGUGAAGAAGGUUUUCGGAUCGUAAAGCUCUGUUGUAAGUCAAGAACGAGUGUGAGAGUGGAAAAUUCACACUGUGACGGUAGCUUACCAGAAAGGGACGGCUAACUACGUGCCAGCAGCCGCGGUAAUACGUAGGUCCCGAGCGUUGUCCGGAUUUAUUGGGCGUAAAGCGAGCGCAGGCGGUUUGAUAAGUCUGAAGUUAAAGGCUGUGGCUCAACCAUAGUUCGCUUUGGAAACUGUCAAACUUGAGUGCAGAAGGGGAGAGUGGAAUUCCAUGUGUAGCGGUGAAAUGCGUAGAUAUAUGGAGGAACACCGGUGGCGAAAGCGGCUCUCUGGUCUGUAACUGACGCUGAUGCUCGAAAGCGUGGGGAGCGAACAGGAUUAGAUACCCUGGUAGUCCACGCCGUAAACGAUGAGUGCUAGGUGUUGGAUCCUUUUCCGGGAUUCAGUGCCGCAGCUAACGCCAUUAAGCACUCCGCCUGGGGGAGUACGACCGCCAAGGUUGAAACUCAAAGGAAAUUGACGGGGGGCCCGCACAAGCGGUGGGAGCAUGUGGUUUAAUUUCGAAGCAACGCGGAGAAACCUUACCAGGUCUUGACAUCCGGAUGCUAUUUUCUAGAGAUAGAAAGGUUACUUCCGGUACAUCCGGUGACAGGGUGGGUGCCAUGGU
RNAcentral lists this ribosomal RNA (1055 nucleotides) under Streptococcus salivarius. Its description in RNAcentral is "bacterial SSU rRNA". It matches the Rfam family "Bacterial small subunit ribosomal RNA", at positions 29 to 1049 of the family's 1533-position model. The record is from RNAcentral. Lineage: Bacteria; Bacillati; Bacillota; Bacilli; Lactobacillales; Streptococcaceae.